This 113-nucleotide ribosomal RNA is filed under the name Pteropus alecto (black flying fox). The record is from RNAcentral. Lineage: Eukaryota; Metazoa; Chordata; Mammalia; Chiroptera; Pteropodidae.
UUCUACGGCUAUGCCACCCUGAAUGUGCCCGAUCUCAUCUGAUCUCAGAAGCUAAGCAGGGUCGGUUAAUACUUGAAUGGGAGACCUCCUAGGAAUACCGGGUGCUAUAGGCG